UGACGAUAAUAGCAAGUUGGCACCACCUGAUUCCAUUCCGAACUCAGAAGUGAAACAGCUUAGCGCUGAUGAUAGUGUGGCAUUCGCCAUGUGAAAGUAAGACAUCG
This 107-nucleotide ribosomal RNA is filed under the name Cysteiniphilum litorale. The record is from RNAcentral. Lineage: Bacteria; Pseudomonadati; Pseudomonadota; Gammaproteobacteria; Thiotrichales; Fastidiosibacteraceae.